CCAACAGAAAUUUGGUUAAACAAAACUUUUCAAGAGAAUUUAUCAAAUAAACAGAUCGAAUCACAGAUGGGAGACUCUGUGAUAGAGAGACUUUGUGCAAUAAUCUACUGCGGGCUGCCAGUUGAUACCUACCCUGGCCUUCAAACUGACGAUCAGCACGCAAUGUUAAAUCUGUCCAGAGAGCCCACCCAGUCACACCUCCUCCAGUGCUGACCUGGAAGAGGAAGGAAGCACCAGGAUCUCCUACACUAUCUGUACUGCGUCAGAGAACACAUACGCUAUUGAGUACUAUUCAACACUUGAAUAGCUACAUAU
Long non-coding RNA from Osmerus eperlanus (European smelt), 315 nucleotides. RefSeq lists it as uncharacterized. The transcript is spliced from 3 exons. NCBI's taxonomy places the organism in Eukaryota, Metazoa, Chordata, Actinopteri, Osmeriformes, Osmeridae. The record is from RefSeq and is a predicted model, not a curated record.